Molecule: ribosomal RNA, 2510 nt
Filed under: Acinetobacter baumannii 25935_5
Lineage: Bacteria; Pseudomonadati; Pseudomonadota; Gammaproteobacteria; Moraxellales; Moraxellaceae
Description: bacterial LSU rRNA
Rfam family: Bacterial large subunit ribosomal RNA
Source: RNAcentral
AGUGCAUGUGGUGGAUGCCUUGGCAGUCAGAGGCGAUGAAAGACGUGAUAGCCUGCGAAAAGCUCCGGGGAGGCGGCAAAUAUCCUUUGAUCCGGAGAUGUCUGAAUGGGGGAACCCACCUACUUUAAGGUAGGUAUUGCAACAUGAAUACAUAGUGUUGCAAGGCGAACGAGGGGAAGUGAAACAUCUCAGUACCCUUAGGAAAAGAAAUCAAUUGAGAUUCCCUCAGUAGCGGCGAGCGAACGGGGAUCAGCCCAUUAAGUUAUGUGUGUUUUAGUGGAACGCUCUGGGAAGUGCGAACGUAGAGGGUGAUAUUCCCGUACACGAAAGGGCACACAUAAUGAUGACGAGUAGGGCGAGGCACGUGAAACCUUGUCUGAAUAUGGGGGGACCAUCCUCCAAGGCUAAAUACUCCUGACUGACCGAUAGUGAACCAGUACCGUGAGGGAAAGGCGAAAAGAACCCCUGUGAGGGGAGUGAAAUAGAUCCUGAAACCGCAUGCAUACAAGCAGUGGGAGCACCUUCGUGGUGUGACUGCGUACCUUUUGUAUAAUGGGUCAGCGACUUAUAUUCAGUAGCGAGGUUAACCGUAUAGGGGAGCCGUAGAGAAAUCGAGUCUUAAUAGGGCGUUUAGUUGCUGGGUAUAGACCCGAAACCAGGCGAUCUAUCCAUGAGCAGGUUGAAGGUUGGGUAACACUAACUGGAGGACCGAACCCACUGUCGUUGAAAAGCCAGGGGAUGACUUGUGGAUAGGGGUGAAAGGCUAAUCAAGCCUGGUGAUAGCUGGUUCUCCCCGAAAGCUAUUUAGGUAGCGCCUCGGACGAAUACCAUAGGGGGUAGAGCACUGUUUCGGCUAGGGGGUCAUCCCGACUUACCAAACCGAUGCAAACUCCGAAUACCUAUGAGUACUAUCCGGGAGACAGACUGCGGGUGCUAACGUCCGUAGUCAAGAGGAAAACAAUCCAGACCGCCAGCUAAGGCCCCAAAAUCAUAGUUAAGUGGGAAACGAUGUGGGAAGGCAUAGACAGCUAGGAGGUUGGCUUAGAAGCAGCCACCCUUUAAAGAAAGCGUAAUAGCUCACUAGUCGAGUCGGCCUGCGCGGAAGAUGUAACGGGGCUAAAACUAUGUGCCGAAGCUGCGGAUGUAUACUUUGUAUACGUGGUAGGGGAGCGUUCUGUAAGCCGAUGAAGGUGUGUUGAGAAGCAUGCUGGAGGUAUCAGAAGUGCGAAUGCUGACGUGAGUAACGACAAAACGGGUGAAAAACCCGUUCGCCGAAAGACCAAGGGUUCCAGUCCAACGUUAAUCGGGGCUGGGUGAGUCGACCCCUAAGGCGAGGCCGAAAGGCGUAGUCGAUGGGAAAAUGGUUAAUAUUCCAUUACUUCUGUGUAAUGCGAUGAGAGGACGGAGAAGGCUAAAUCAGCCUGGCGUUGGUUGUCCAGGUGAAAGGAUGUAGGCAUGUAUCUUAGGCAAAUCCGGGGUACUCUAUGCUGAGAUCUGAUAGCAAGCUGUACUUGUACAGCGAAGUGGUUGAUGCCAUGCUUCCAGGAAAAGUCUCUAAGCUUCAGUUACACAGGAAUCGUACCCGAAACCGACACAGGUGGUCAGGUCGAGUAGACCAAGGCGCUUGAGAGAACUCUGCUGAAGGAACUAGGCAAAAUGGUACCGUAACUUCGGGAGAAGGUACGCUGUUGUUGGUGAUGGAACUCGCUUCCUGAGCUGACGACAGCCGCAGAAACCAGGCCGCUGCAACUGUUUAUUAAAAACAUAGCACUCUGCAAACACGAAAGUGGACGUAUAGGGUGUGAUGCCUGCCCGGUGCUGGAAGGUUAAUUGAUGGGGUUAGCGUAAGCGAAGCUCUUGAUCGAAGCCCCAGUAAACGGCGGCCGUAACUAUAACGGUCCUAAGGUAGCGAAAUUCCUUGUCGGGUAAGUUCCGACCUGCACGAAUGGCAUAAUGAUGGCGGCGCUGUCUCCAGCAGAGGCUCAGUGAAAUCGAAAUCGCUGUGAAGAUGCAGUGUACCCGCGGCUAGACGGAAAGACCCCGUGAACCUUUACUGCAGCUUGACACUGAACUUUGACCUUACUUGUGUAGGAUAGGUGGGAGGCUUUGAAGCUGGAACGCUAGUUCCAGUGGAGCCGUCCUUGAAAUACCACCCUGGUAAUGUUGAGGUUCUAACUCUGUCCCGUGAUCCGGGACGAGGACCGUGUCUGGUGGGUAGUUUGACUGGGGCGGUCUCCUCCUAAAGAGUAACGGAGGAGUACGAAGGUGCGCUCAGCGUGGUCGGAAAUCACGCGUAGAGUAUAAAGGCAAAAGCGCGCUUAACUGCGAGACCCACAAGUCGAGCAGGUACGAAAGUAGGUCUUAGUGAUCCGGUGGUUCUGUAUGGAAGGGCCAUCGCUCAACGGAUAAAAGGUACUCUGGGGAUAACAGGCUGAUACCGCCCAAGAGUUCAUAUCGACGGCGGUGUUUGGCACCUCGAUGUCGGCUCAUCUCAUCCUGGGGCUGAAGCA